CCCUACGAGGUGCAGCAGGCGAGAAAACUUUGCAAUGUGCGAAAGCACGACAAGGUUAAUCCGAGUGGUUUCUGCUAAAGAAACCUUUUGUCGGUCCUAGAAACACCGAUGAAUAAGGGGUGGGCAAGUUCUGGUGUCAGCCGCCGCGGUAAAACCAGCACCUCAAGUGGUCAGGAUGAUUAUUGGGCCUAAAGCAUCCGUAGCCGGCUCUGUAAGUUUUCGGUUAAAUCUGUAUGCUCAACAUACAGGCUGCCGGGAAUACUGCAGAGCUAGGGAGUGGGAGAGGUAGACGGUACUCGGUAGGAAGGGGUAAAAUCCUUUGAUCUAUUGAUGACCACCUGUGGCGAAGGCGGUCUACCAGAACACGUCCGACGGUGAGGGAUGAAAGCUGGGGGAGCAAACCGGAUUAGAUACCCGGGUAGUCCCAGCUGUAAACUAUGCAAACUCAGUGAUGCAUUGGCUUGUGGCCAAUGCAGUGUUGCAGGGAAGCCGUUAAGUUUGCCGCCUGGGAAGUACGUACGCAAGUAUGAAACUUAAAGGAAUUGGCGGGGGAGCACCACAAGGGGUGAAGCCUGCGGUUCAAUUGGAGUCAACGCCAGAAAUCUUACCCGGAGAGACAGCAGAAUGAAGGUCAAGCUGAAGACUUUACCAGACAAGCUGAGAAGAGGUGCAUGGCC
This 677-nucleotide ribosomal RNA is filed under the name uncultured archaeon. RNAcentral's name for it is "bacterial SSU rRNA". It matches the Rfam family "Archaeal small subunit ribosomal RNA", at positions 321 to 999 of the family's 1478-position model. The record is from RNAcentral.